This is an RNA transcript of Mandrillus leucophaeus (drill), 3136 nucleotides long. It is a transcript of the gene named cyclin J-like, with no coding region annotated. The transcript is spliced from 7 exons. Lineage: Eukaryota; Metazoa; Chordata; Mammalia; Primates; Cercopithecidae. The record is from RefSeq and is a predicted model, not a curated record.
UGGCUCGGCACUGGGAGGGGCCCGGCGCCCGCAGCCCCCCACGCCCAGAGAGGAUGCGGUGCGCCCUGAGAGCCGGGUAGCCUCGGAUAGCGGCGCUGCGUACGCGAUGAUGGAUGAGCCGUGGUGGGAAGGGCGCGUCGCCUCGGACGUCCACUGCACCCUGCGCGAGAAGGAACUGAAGCUGCCCAUCUUCCGAGCCCACUCCCCACUCCUGAAGAGCCGCCGGUUCUUCGUGGACAUCCUGACCCUGCUGAGCAGCCACUGCCAGCUCUGCCCUGCAGCCCGGCACCUGGCCGUCUACCUGCUGGACCACUUCAUGGAUCGCUACAAUGUCAGCACCUCCAAGCAGCUCUACACCGUGGCUGUCUCCUGCCUCCUGCUUGCAAACGGAGUUUUGCUCUUAUCGCCCAGGCGAGAGUGCAAUAGCACGAUCUCAGCUCAUUGCAACCUCCCAGGUUCAAGCAAUUCUCCUGCUUCAGCACCCCCCCGCUCCCCGUCCCACUGCCCCGAGUAGCUGAGACUAUAGGUAAGUUCGAGGAUCGGGAAGACCAUGUCCCCAAGUUGGAGCAAAUAAACAGCACGAGGAUCCUGAGCAGCCAGAACUUCACCCUCACCAAGAAGGAGCUGCUUGGCACAGAGCUGCUGCUCCUGGAGGCCUUCAGCUGGAACCUCUGCCUGCCCACGCCUGCCCACUUCCUGGACUACUACCUCUUGGCCUCCGUCAGCCAGAAGGACCACCACUGCCACACCUGGCCCACCACCUGCCCCCGCAAGACCAAAGAGUGCCUCAAGGAGUAUGCCCAUUACUUCCUAGAGGUCACCCUGCAAGAUCACGUGUUCUACAAAUUCCAGCCUUCUGUGGUCGCUGCAGCCUGUGUUGGGGCCUCUAGGAUUUGCCUGCAGCUUUCUCCCUACUGGACCAGAGACCUGCAGAGGAUCUCAAGCUAUUCCCUGGAACACCUCAGCACGUGUAUUGAAAUCCUGCUGGUAGUGUAUGACAACGUCCUCAAGGAUGCCGUAGCCGUCAAGAGCCAGGCCUUGGCGAUGGUGCCCGGCACACCCCCCACCCCCACCCAAGUGCUGUUCCAGCCACCAGCCUACCCGGCCCUCGGCCAGCCAGCGACCACCCUGGCACAGUUCCAGACCCCCGUGCAGGACCUAUGCUUGGCCUACCGGGACUCCUUGCAGGCCCACCGUUCAGGGAGCCUGCUUUCGGGGAGCACAGGCUCAUCCCUCCACACCCCGUACCCCCCUCUCCAGCCCCUGGAUAUGUGUCCCGUGCCCAUCCCUGCGUCCCUUAGCAUGCAGAUGGCCAUUGCAGCUGAGCCCAGGCACUGCCUCGCCACCACCUACGGAAGCAGCUACUUCAGUGGGAGCCACAUGUUCCCCACUGGCUGCUUUGACAGAUAGGCCACCUCCAGACCUCACGAGGAAGCCUUGGAGAUCUGGGCAGAGGAAGAGGACACUGAAGGGGAGAGCUCAACCAAGUGAGGCAGCAGGAGGCCAUCCCUGAAGAGCCUUGGAAUGUGGAGGGUCUGUGCUCCUUUUAAAUAAACCUGACCCAGAGCAAAACAUUCAAUAACAUACCUCACCCGAGAGCAUUCCUCUGAGAAACAUCUGCCACGUGUGACUGGGGUACAAAAGGAUGGCUUGGUGGCCGUCCCCCCACGCAGGGGCCAGUGAAUCAAGAAAGACUUGGUAAGAGGCCAGGAGAGUGGGAACUGGACACAGACCACUGAUCUCAAGCACGUCCAGUUUUUAGCAUUAAAGACUUCUCUACUCUUUGCUGAUGGCAGCUACACCACUGAAAAAGGAGGGGCAGCCUGGCGUGUUCUCAGGAGCCCCGGAGGAUGCCGUAUUGGGUGCUUUCCUUUCCCUGGCUCCGUGCAGAGGGGCCUGAGUGUGUGUGUAUGCCUGAGCAUUUGCCUUGCAAGGCACAGUGGGUGGCUGUCUUGCCUUUGUUUUUGAACCUAAAACCAUUUUCAGCCUUUUAGAUAAUUUCAUGUGCUGCUGCUUCCCGAAGUGGUCUCGCUUUCUGUUUCGUAAGAUGUCUUGUUUACACGCUGUAUCAGGGAUUUGGUGAUACUUGAAAAUUCCUUUGGAGAAAAAAACAAAUUUAAUCGCCACACUGCCUGUCCCACAUGAGGGCUGUUAAAUUGGAACCCAAGUUUGAACCCAACUUGUGACGGACCGGCAGGUAACCACAGAGCUUCCUUUUCGAAAGCAUAUGGUUGGAGAGAACCACUUUCCCAGCUCUCGGUUCCAGAAGAUUCCACGUCUUGGAGGCUGUGUUCACCUCUAGAACUUUAAUGACUACCCAGGGAGGGAGAAGCUCGUUGAAAGGAAGACAAAGAUUUAAACAAUUCCCACCUCUCUCCACCACAUACUUAACAGUGCAUGAGUUUAACCCAGUCUCGGCUUUGAGUGUGGCUGAUAGCGAAGGAUAGCAAUGUGGAAUAUUUGCUUAGUCCCACUGGAUUUGGGGUGUGGGAUGUACAUGGCAUAUUAUACCACCGUUGAUAGACAAGUGACUGGUUGGAUCAAAAGCCAGUAUUUAGGGAUCUGCAGUGAGGGGGCUCUCAGGAAGACUGUUGGAACCGUGUGCAAUAUGUUUUUUAUUCUGACUCGCAGCUUGUGCUUAGCAUGUUCUUUGGUUUAGUUUGGGGUUGGAGGACGCAUCGUUCACCCAUCAGAACUGGGAGAUGCAAAGGACUGGGGAAGCAAUUUUUGUUUUGUUUGAGGAAUACCUGUCUUGGUUUUCUUAGCCCCUUGCCAGUCCUGGAGACUGUGCUUGGGGCCGCCAGGAAGACAGCUGCAUGCUGCUGAGUCAGAUCUGAAGAUGGUGAAUCUUUCCAGAGCAAAUGAAAAUCUCAGCGUAGAGACAGUAAGCAAAGAGACGGGGUGUGGAUAAGACUCUGCCACCGUGUCACAUUAGCAUAGGAGACUGCACGUUUGUUUGUUGUUUUUCUUUUUUUCCUUUGCCAACCUCCCUUCUAUUUAUGUGCAAGCAGUUUGGAUUCAAGUUCUUGUGUCUGUUUGUUCUGGGGCCUGGGGAUCGUGAGGGUUCCCUCACAGCCAGCGCGGCACCCAGAAAGAGGUGUCCCACAAUAAACACGUCACCUGCUCUUGGUCUCUC